This 253-nucleotide ribosomal RNA is filed under the name uncultured bacterium. Its description in RNAcentral is "partial 16S ribosomal RNA". It matches the Rfam family "Bacterial small subunit ribosomal RNA", at positions 524 to 776 of the family's 1533-position model. The record is from RNAcentral.
UACGGAGGGGGUUAGCGUUGUUCGGAAUUACUGGGCGUAAAGCGCGCGUAGGCGGAUUAGAAAGUUGGGGGUGAAAUCCCGGGGCUCAACCUCGGAACUGCCUCCAAAACUGCUAGUCUAGAGUUCGAGAGAGGUGAGUGGAAUUCCGAGUGUAGAGGUGACACUCGUAGAUAUUCGGAGGAACACCAGUGGCGAAGGCGGCUCACUGGCUCGAUACUGACGCUGAGGUGCGAAAGUGUGGGGAGCAAACAGG